GAUGAACGCUGGCGGCGUGCUUAACACAUGCAAGUCGAACGGAAAGGCCAGUGCUUGCACUGGUACUCGAGUGGCGAACGGGUGAGUAACACGUGGGUGAUCUGCCCUGUACUUCGGGAUAAGCUUGGGAAACUGGGUCUAAUACCGGAUAGGACAACUUUUUGGAUAUUGUUGUGGAAAGCUUUUGCGGUAUGGGAUGAGCUCGCGGCCUAUCAGCUUGUUGGUGGGGGAAUGGCCUACCAAGGCGUCGACGGGUAGCCGGCCUGAGAGGGUGUACGGCCACAUUGGGACUGAGAUACGACCCAGACUCCUACGGGAGGCAGCAGUGGGGAAUAUUGCACAAUGGGCGCAAGCCUGAUGCAGCGACGCCGCGUGGGGGAUGAAGGCCUUCGGGUUGUAAACUCCUUUCGCUAGGGACGAAGCGUAAGUGACGGUACCUGGAGAAGAAGCACCGGCUAACCACGUG
Molecule: ribosomal RNA, 466 nt
Filed under: uncultured bacterium
Lineage: Bacteria
Description: partial 16S ribosomal RNA
Rfam family: Bacterial small subunit ribosomal RNA
Source: RNAcentral